RNAcentral lists this ribosomal RNA (1456 nucleotides) under uncultured organism. RNAcentral's name for it is "SSU rRNA". It matches the Rfam family "Bacterial small subunit ribosomal RNA". The record is from RNAcentral.
GAACGCUGGCGGCAGGCCUAACACAUGCAAGUCGAGCGGUAGCACAGAGAGCUUGCUCUCGGGUGACGAGCGGCGGACGGGUGAGUAAUGUCUGGGAAACUGCCUGAUGGAGGGGGAUAACUACUGGAAACGGUAGCUAAUACCGCAUAACGUCGCAAGACCAAAGUGGGGGACCUUCGGGCCUCAUGCCAUCAGAUGUGCCCAGAUGGGAUUAGCUAGUAGGUGGGGUAACGGCUCACCUAGGCGACGAUCCCUAGCUGGUCUGAGAGGAUGACCAGCCACACUGGAACUGAGACACGGUCCAGACUCCUACGGGAGGCAGCAGUGGGGAAUAUUGCACAAUGGGCGCAAGCCUGAUGCAGCCAUGCCGCGUGUGUGAAGAAGGCCUUCGGGUUGUAAAGCACUUUCAGCGGGGAGGAAGGCGUUAAGGUUAAUAACCUUGGCGAUUGACGUUACCCGCAGAAGAAGCACCGGCUAACUCCGUGCCAGCAGCCGCGGUAAUACGGAGGGUGCAAGCGUUAAUCGGAAUUACUGGGCGUAAAGCGCACGCAGGCGGUCUGUCAAGUCGGAUGUGAAAUCCCCGGGCUCAACCUGGGAACUGCAUUCGAAACUGGCAGGCUAGAGUCUUGUAGAGGGGGGUAGAAUUCCAGGUGUAGCGGUGAAAUGCGUAGAGAUCUGGAGGAAUACCGGUGGCGAAGGCGGCCCCCUGGACAAAGACUGACGCUCAGGUGCGAAAGCGUGGGGAGCAAACAGGAUUAGAUACCCUGGUAGUCCACGCCGUAAACGAUGUCGAUUUGGAGGUUGUGCCCUUGAGGCGUGGCUUCCGGAGCUAACGCGUUAAAUCGACCGCCUGGGGAGUACGGCCGCAAGGUUAAAACUCAAAUGAAUUGACGGGGGCCCGCACAAGCGGUGGAGCAUGUGGUUUAAUUCGAUGCAACGCGAAGAACCUUACCUGGUCUUGACAUCCACAGAACUUUCCAGAGAUGGAUUGGUGCCUUCGGGAACUGUGAGACAGGUGCUGCAUGGCUGUCGUCAGCUCGUGUUGUGAAAUGUUGGGUUAAGUCCCGCAACGAGCGCAACCCUUAUCCUUUGUUGCCAGCGGUUCGGCCGGGAACUCAAAGGAGACUGCCAGUGAUAAACUGGAGGAAGGUGGGGAUGACGUCAAGUCAUCAUGGCCCUUACGACCAGGGCUACACACGUGCUACAAUGGCAUAUACAAAGAGAAGCGACCUCGCGAGAGCAAGCGGACCUCAUAAAGUAUGUCGUAGUCCGGAUUGGGGUCUGCAACUCGACUCCAUGAAGUCGGAAUCGCUAGUAAUCGUAGAUCAGAAUGCUACGGUGAAUACGUUCCCGGGCCUUGUACACACCGCCCGUCACACCAUGGGGGUGGGUUGCAAAAGAAGUAGGUAGCUUAACCUUCGGGAGGGCGCUUACCACUUUGUGAUUCAUGACUGGG